This 667-nucleotide long non-coding RNA is filed under the name Medicago truncatula (barrel medic). RNAcentral's name for it is "long non-coding RNA (MTRU_LNC006882)". Lineage: Eukaryota; Viridiplantae; Streptophyta; Magnoliopsida; Fabales; Fabaceae. The record is from RNAcentral.
UUGAGUAAGUGAAGGAUGAAUUUUAUUAAUGAAAAUUGAUUACAAGGAAAGCACCAAAGUGCCAGCAACUAAAUCCUAAAGGACUUAGUUAAGUUUCUUAGAGAAACUUUAUAAACAUAGAGAUUUCAACUACAGUCUGCAAUACUAUCGUUACAAGCCUUUAUUUAUAAGCCAAAAGGUCCUACUACUAUUCAUACAUAACAUUAUUCACAGCACUAUUCAUUAUAGCACUAUUCAUCCCAACACUAUUCACCCUUACAUAAAGGUCGACCGGAUCAGGACUCACAACCACUGCUGCAACCCAUGCACCCCGAACCAGAACGCGUGCUACAAUUGAAUCUCAUUCUCCUUUAACACCCUUUUCCUUUAAAACAUACUAAACGUACUACAGGUGAUGCAUCACCACUACGGCAAACCAGUACACCACAUAUCCCCCACCAAAACCGUGCCCACUUCACCUCCUCCACAUAGAUCUGUAACAGAUCAGUACAAUGAGAAAAACAUAAGCAAGACAGGGACAAGUCGAACAAACGUGGGCUAGGAGCAGGAACAAAUCGCAAAACAUGACUGGAGGAAACUAAAAUAAAACAAAGAAAAGAGAGAAAAUCUACAUUUCGGCGGUCGCACCACCAGAUGCGGCGGCGCCGGCGACAGAACCCCCACCUGA